RNAcentral lists this unclassified non-coding RNA (348 nucleotides) under Hevea brasiliensis (rubber tree). Lineage: Eukaryota; Viridiplantae; Streptophyta; Magnoliopsida; Malpighiales; Euphorbiaceae. The record is from RNAcentral.
AAAAAGAGAGACUUUGAAAUUACAAAAGGCCCUUGAACCAUGACUAUUACUGUUUUUAGUUCUCAGCAAAAUCUAUUCAAAUAAAAAAAAAGCUGGGGGAAAGAAAAAUGAACACCAAAACGCAACUACAAAAACUCAACAAAAAUGUUUCUUGUUAUGCAAACAAAAGGCAGGCUACACUCUAUGUUGUACCAUAAAUCUAGUAUAUCUUUUCUCUAAAACACAAAUACUACUAUCACCACAAUUAAGCAGAAUUAUAUAUAAUAAAAAUAUACUACAUUAACCACCUAGGACACCAAUUUAUAAUUAGUAAUUACAUAAUCUAAUUAAAGAAAACUUAACAAAAAG